This 68-nucleotide transfer RNA is filed under the name Camelus bactrianus (Bactrian camel). It matches the Rfam family "tRNA". Rfam says of the family: Transfer RNA (tRNA) molecules are approximately 80 nucleotides in length. RNAcentral also lists the same sequence under 2 other names. The record is from Rfam by way of RNAcentral. Lineage: Eukaryota; Metazoa; Chordata; Mammalia; Artiodactyla; Camelidae.
GAAUAGCUCAGUGGUAGAGCCCAUGUUUGGCAUGCAUGAGGUCCUGGGUUCACUCUCCAGUACCAUCA